RNAcentral lists this ribosomal RNA (309 nucleotides) under uncultured bacterium. Its description in RNAcentral is "bacterial SSU rRNA". It matches the Rfam family "Bacterial small subunit ribosomal RNA", at positions 29 to 322 of the family's 1533-position model. The record is from RNAcentral.
AACGAACGCUGGCGGCGUGGAUUAGGCAUGCAAGUCGAACGAGAAAGCACCCUUCGGGGUGCAAGUACAGUGGCGGACUGGUGAGUAACGCGUGGGAAACCUGCCUUCGAGUGGGGGAGUAACAGUUCUAACGGACUGCUAAUACCGCAUAACGCUGUUGUUCGCAUGUUCAACAGUUAAGAUGGCCUCUACAUGUAAGCUGUCGCUUGAUGAUGGUCCCGCGUCCAUUAGCUAGUUGGUGAGGUAACGGCUCACCAAGGCAACAAUGGGUAGCCGGCCUGAGAGGGUGGUCGGCCACACUGGGACUGA